RNAcentral lists this transfer RNA (73 nucleotides) under Candidatus Micrarchaeota archaeon CG1_02_55_41. RNAcentral describes it as "tRNA-Thr". It matches the Rfam family "tRNA". From Rfam's summary of the family: Transfer RNA (tRNA) molecules are approximately 80 nucleotides in length. RNAcentral also lists the same sequence under 2 other names. Lineage: Archaea; Nanobdellati; Microcaldota. The record is from RNAcentral.
GCCCCCGUAGCUCAGCGGUUAGAGCGGCGGUUUUGUAAACCGUAGGUCGGGAGUUCAAUUCUCCCCGGGGGCU